Molecule: ribosomal RNA, 467 nt
Filed under: uncultured bacterium
Lineage: Bacteria
Description: partial 16S ribosomal RNA
Rfam family: Bacterial small subunit ribosomal RNA
Source: RNAcentral
GACGAACGCUGGCGGCGUGCUUAACACAUGCAAGUCGAACGAUGACGACCGAGCUUGCUCGGUCUGAUUAGUGGCGAACGGGUGAGUAACACGUGAGCAACCUGCCCUUCACUCUGGGAUAACCUCGGGAAAUCGGGGCUAAUACCGGAUAUGAGCUCCUGUCGCAUGGCGGGUGUUGGAAAGUGUUUCGGUGAAGGAUGGGCUCGCGGCCUAUCAGUUUGUUGGUGAGGUAGGGGCUCACCAAGGCGAUGACAGGUAGCCGGCCUGAGAGGGCGACCGGCCACAAUGGGACUGAGACACGGCCCAGACUCCUACGGGAGGCAGCAGUGGGGAAUAUUGCACAAUGGGCGAAAGCCUGAUGCAGCGACGCCGCGUGAGGGAUGACGGCCUUCGGGUUGUAAACCUCUUUCAGCAGGGAAGAAGCGAAAGUGACGGUACCUGAAGAAGAAGCGCCGGCUAACUACGUG